GCAAACUUGGUCAUUUAGAGGAAGUAAAAGUCGUAACAAGGUUUCCGUAGGUGAACCUGCGGAAGGAUCAUUAUCAGGGUUUCCCAUAAACCCAAUCUAUCCACCGUGUGCACCAAAAAACGAAAUCAAAAUUCCAAAUCUCUCCUUUCUCUUUUGCCGUCUGUCCUCUCCGGAUGGAUGGCAAUAUAGAGGAAAGAGAGAGUUGGAGUUUUCUUUUCAUUUUUUUUUUACAACUUUUGCCUGAAUGUUUGUCUGACAAUAUGUUUUUUAAAUGAUUCAAUACAACUUUCAACAACGGAUCUCUUGGCUCUCGCAUCGAUGAAGAACGCAGC
This 332-nucleotide unclassified non-coding RNA is filed under the name uncultured fungus. Its description in RNAcentral is "partial contains small subunit ribosomal RNA, internal transcribed spacer 1, and 5.8S ribosomal RNA". The stretch from base 1 to 73 matches the Rfam family "Eukaryotic small subunit ribosomal RNA", at positions 1759 to 1831 of the family's 1831-position model. The record is from RNAcentral. Lineage: Eukaryota; Fungi.